UAUUACCUCUUCCGGUGAUUGUUCCAGUUCUUGUUCUUGUUCCUCUGAUUCCGUGUAUUCCGAGGGGUUGGUGGAUUCUUGUUGUUUGUAACCCUCUGGAAAUUUGAACUAGAACUGAAGUCGGCCGAACCAUGACUGUUGCCUUGAUGGCUGUUAGUGUUACCUUGAUGGCUAUUGGUGUCAUGGUUUUGUCUUAAUCUUUCACUACGCCUAAGAUUUUCAAUAGGAUCUUGAAUGGAAGUCGACGGAAUACCAGUAGUAGAUGGAAUAUGUGCAGUAGAAAUAGGUAAUUGAACGACAGUGUUAGUGUCAGUCAAUUGAACAUUAGUUGGUAUUAAUUGUACUCCACUAGGUUGUUGUAAUUUUCGGUAUGCAGUGUUGUCAUUAUAAGCCGCUGUAUCCCGAUCAAGUUUCUUUAUUUUAUUAAUUUUCAGUUUAUCAAUAAGUUGGUUUAUACUAGGGAAAAUCCGACCAUAGUCGUAUCUAUACCUAGAAAAGUCCAAGUCUGUUUUAAUAGAAGAGUCAAUAGUGUCCACCUCUUGUGUAAUGUUUUCAAUGUGUAUAGAGUAGUGUUUCAUCAUGAGUUCCAACAAUUGAAAACCUUGCUGGUCGAAGAGGCAGAUAAGAUCUUUGUGGAAUGUCAUAUCAGGUAAAAGGCCAGUAGGAAAAUGAAAACAACAUAGCCCUUUAGGAACCACUUUGUCCGCUAAACAUUGUUUAAGAUAUGCAACUUCCAAUUGUAGUUUCUUUAGUCUAAGUAAUUUUGUGUCAAGUAGUUUCAAUUUUUCAAUAAUAAAAUGAGUACUCACUGGAUUCAAGCUCGUGGCCGGACGUACCUGGUUAGGCACAAACGCUGUACUGAACGAUUCAGUGUUCCUAACCCAGUCGAUGACUGAAGGGACGCCAAUAAGCCCUGAGUCUUGAUUUUACUGAACGCUAGUUGAAGUAUGUUCAUUAGUGAUCAAAUAGUGCUGCUGGCCAGAAAGACACAAACCGUCUGCAUGGGUCUGUUCCUGGUUAAUGUUGAUGGUAUCUAAACCCAUAUUAGAAGUAGGUGUACGAACACGUUGACCUAAAGGAAAGGAUGCUGGAUUUAAAUGUCUGCUUAGGCAUGAUUUUAUAUGGAAUGUUUUUAUACUGUGUUUCCUACAGCAAUAUUAUGAUAGAGUUAAUGGUUAUCUCAGGUGUGUUUAAUUAAUGGGGGUGUGUGCUUGUAUUAUUUAAAAUUUUUGGAGUGCAUUGGGUUUUAUUCUUUGUUCUGAAGAAGUUCCUGUUGGGACGAAAGUGACAAUAAAGAGCUUUUUUCGCUAAUUUCUGGUAUUUUUCUUCCAAGUUGUGAACUUGUUUUGGAUCCAGCUUCUCCUGAUAGUGGGUUUGUUUUUAGUUGAUCUUAAUGAGGCACACUUGAGAGGUAUGCUUCUCUCUUUUUAUCUUAGCUAAGGAAGAAAUUAGAUACAACAGCAGCAGCAAAAGAGAAGAUUAGAGCAGCAGGUUGAGUCUUCUGGUUCAAAUCUCUUGGAUGCAAACCAGGCAUGUAUCUCCCUGUCUAGGGACAGAUCACUCUAUAUCCAUCCAGGGACGUCCUCUCAGGGUCGGAGUGGAGGCGUCGGUCCUGCAGGCAAUCCAGUAUGUGGCAGCCUGCAAAGGCUCACAGAAAGGGAGCUUUGGAGUUUGGUUGAAGAUGUACUGGUAGGGGUAGCGGACAGGAAAAUUUGGCCAGAUGAAGCCUCGCUUCAUUGUGUAGAAGGAAAACUCGCCCAGUUGGUACCAACCACUGUGCCCGCACAUUUAAUAUUAAGUGUUUUGUUAACUGUAUUUCAGAGUGGGUGAUUUAUUUGGCUGAAUGUCAGUGUUCUGCAUUUUAUGUGGGACAAACUUCCAGACAAUUUAAGAUUCGUAUUUCUGAACAUCUUAGUGACAUUCGUUGUCAGAGAAUGUCUAAUGCUUUAUAUAGGCAUGCUUUGCAACAUCCUACUGCUAAGUUCAGAUUUGCAGCUAUUGAUCGUAUUACUGUUAGAAGAAGUAAUAAAUUAGACUGGCAUAAUAUACUGAAUAAAAAAAUAAAAGUUUUGGAUAACUAAGCUAAGGGCUUUGUUCCCACCAGGCUUAAAUGAUAUGUUAUAAUUGGUGAACGGUAGGGGUGUGUGUCUUGUUCUGUGCAUUUAGGUGCAACUGUGGAUGGGAUUUUUAUUUUUAUUUAUAUUCACACUGAAGAAAGGUUUUGCUGAAACCAGUUUGUAGCAUUCUGUAGCAUUCUGUCUAUUUAUUGUUUUUACAAUAAAUAGUUAUUAGUGGUUCA
Protopterus annectens (West African lungfish) is the source of this 2299-nucleotide long non-coding RNA. RefSeq lists it as uncharacterized. NCBI's taxonomy places the organism in Eukaryota, Metazoa, Chordata, Ceratodontiformes, Protopteridae. The transcript is spliced from 2 exons. The record is from RefSeq and is a predicted model, not a curated record.